GGGGUAUUGUGAAAUAUCUCUGCACUGAUCAACUAGGUGAUGUAACUCUUGUCUAGGCUCUGCCUACAGGGGCGUUUUGACAUAUCUCUGAACUGAUGACAAAAGUGAUGUAACUCUUGCCUAGGCUUUGCCUACAGGGGACAUUGUGACAUAUCUCUGCACUGAUCACCCAGGUGAUGCAACUCUUCUCUAUGCUCUGCCUAUAGGGGGCAUUGUGACAUAUCUCUGCACUGAUCACUCAGGUGAUGUAACUCUUGUCUAGGCUCUGCCUACAGGGGGUAUUGUGACAUAUCUCUGCACUGAUCACCUAAGUGAUGUAACACUUGUGUAGGCUCUGCCUACAGG
Molecule: long non-coding RNA, 345 nt
Filed under: Homo sapiens (human)
Lineage: Eukaryota; Metazoa; Chordata; Mammalia; Primates; Hominidae
Description: HSALNT0288857
Source: RNAcentral